CUUGAAAUAGUCCUGAAACCACACAGGAGCAACAGGCUCUUCUUGUGAACAAGUGUAUGUGUUACGGACACACAUGGGCUGCUGACACAUGUGUGCUGCUCACACACGUGGGUUGCUACCACCCUUUGCUUCCAAAUUUAUGCCCUGCUUCAUUACUCAGUUCAUACCUAUGUGGUCCAGGCAGUCAGAAGAUGAUGCCCUGCUCUGUCACUGAUCUCCCUGCUGGCCCUGGCCAUGUCAGCUCUCCCCUCUGAGAUGGCACCAUGAAGACAAUGUGCCUGGAUGCAGGAGAUAACUGAAGACACCAUCAGCAGAACCAAAGGAGCAACUGAAACCCAGAAGUCAGCGGUUUGCUGCUUGACCUGUUUUUCUCUCGAAAGCUUGUCAGACACCUUUUGGAUGCUUUUCUGUGUCCUCCAGGUAGAAGGAAAACUGCCUGAGAAGCAUUCAGGGAAUGACUGAUUUCAAUGUUAUAAAUCCCUGGAUUUUUCAUCUCCCUUUGAACGGGAUGCCAAAGGGGAUUAAAGACUAAAGAACAAAUCACAAAUUUACAUUAUUAAAAUUGCUGUAAUCAAGAGUGUUUUCUAGCCUUAAUCAGGAUUAGCGAAAACAAACCCCCCAACUUUUCUACUCUGCAACACUAAUCAGAAUUCUAUCAAAUGCCAGAUAACAAAAUAAAAGCAGUUUUGACAAUUAAAAAUAGUGGUUGCUAUAUUCUAGUAUUCUUUAAAUGUGGUUUCACCUGUUUGAGAGCAGAGCAGUGAUUUCUCUGCCGAUAAUUCACACGGCAGACAACAAGCAUAGCUAUAAAUAAAUGUCAGUAACACUGCAAAGUCCAAACUGUAGUUUUAAGGAAAUACACUUUUUUGAACACAUGCUAUAGGAACAGGAGGGGAUGUGUGCAAUGUCAAAUGCUUGGUUUUGUUCUCCUAAAUAGUAAGCUAAAUAAUCCAAACUGUGGAAAACAACUAGAAACCUGCCACUGGUGAGAACACAGCCUUGUGGGACACAGAGAAGGGCUCCCUCGCUGCUGAGCUGGCAACAAGCAGGUUUGGUCUCAAGAACCUCGAGAGCUUUUAAGUGAGGUCUUUAUCCAUCAUGCCCUAUGCUGACAGUUAUGCUACAAGGCUAAUACAGUAAAGGGAUAAAGCUUGUACAGAUUUUUCUGGUCCUCUGGAGCCUCUUAAAGGCAGCAUUAUGUUGGUUUCAGAAACCACUGCUGUGCCCUGCAGCAUCAGGCCCCAUUUUGCUGUCACUAAUAGCGCCAGAAAUGCUGCCAAUUAGUAACCCAGCCGCAGGAUCAGAUCCUACAUACAUUUUACCCUUAUAAAAUGCCAACUACAAUUUUAAAAUGGAAAUUAUGGGUAUAUCUAUGUAAAGAACGACUUCAAAAAAUUAUCUGAGAACACUGACCAGUUUCUAAAGGCUUAGAAACAAGCUCAGCAUGCAGCAAUAGUCAGAUACAGCG
Molecule: long non-coding RNA, 1468 nt
Organism: Neopsephotus bourkii (Bourke's parrot)
Lineage: Eukaryota; Metazoa; Chordata; Aves; Psittaciformes; Psittacidae
Exons: 3
Source: RefSeq, a predicted model, not a curated record